This 309-nucleotide ribosomal RNA is filed under the name uncultured bacterium. RNAcentral's name for it is "partial 16S ribosomal RNA". It matches the Rfam family "Bacterial small subunit ribosomal RNA", at positions 504 to 808 of the family's 1533-position model. The record is from RNAcentral.
AGAGACAGCAGCAGCGCGGGAAUACGGAGGGUGCAAGCGUUAAUCGGAAUUACUGGGCGUAAAGCGCACGCAGGCGGUCUGACAAGUCAGAUGUGAAAUCCCCGGGCUUAACCUGGGAACUGCAUUUGAAACUGUCAGGCUGGAGUCUUGUAGAGGGGGGUAGAAUUCCAGGUGUAGCGGUGAAAUGCGUAGAGAUCUGGAGGAAUACCGGUGGCGAAGGCGGCCCCCUGGACAAAGACUGACGCUCAGGUGCGAAAGCGUGGGGAGCAAACAGGAUUAGAUACCCCAGUAGUCCCUGUCUCUUAUACA